This is a small nuclear RNA of Ursus americanus (American black bear), 99 nucleotides long. The record is from Ensembl. Lineage: Eukaryota; Metazoa; Chordata; Mammalia; Carnivora; Ursidae.
GCUUACUUCAGCAGCAUAUACUAAAAUUGGAACCACACAGAGAAGAUUAGCAUGGCCCCUGAGUAAGACAUGCAAAUUCAUGAAGCCUUCCAUAUUUAU